This 1354-nucleotide ribosomal RNA is filed under the name bacterium YC-LKJ50. Its description in RNAcentral is "bacterial SSU rRNA". It matches the Rfam family "Bacterial small subunit ribosomal RNA", at positions 85 to 1419 of the family's 1533-position model. The record is from RNAcentral.
UGGACGUCGAGCGGCGGACGGGUGAGUAACGGCUGGGAACCUGCCCUGACGAGGGGGAUAACCGUUGGAAACGACGGCUAAUACCGCAUAAUGUCUUGAUUCGUUAGAGUCAGGACCAAAGGUGGCCUCUACAUGUAAGCUAUCGCGUUGGGAUGGGCCCAGUUAGGAUUAGCUAGUUGGUAAGGUAAUGGCUUACCAAGGCAACGAUCCUUAACUGGUUUGAGAGGAUGAUCAGCCACACUGGGACUGAGACACGGCCCAGACUCCUACGGGAGGCAGCAGUGGGGAAUAUUGCACAAUGGGGGAGACCCUGAUGCAGCCAUGCCGCGUGUGUGAAGAAGGCCUUCGGGUUGUAAAGCACUUUCAGCAGUGAGGAAGGUCGUGUACUUAAUACGUGCACGGCUUGACGUUAGCUGCAGAAGAAGCACCGGCUAACUCCGUGCCAGCAGCCGCGGUAAUACGGAGGGUGCGAGCGUUAAUCGGAAUUACUGGGCGUAAAGCGCAUGCAGGCGGUUUGUUAAGUCAGAUGUGAAAGCCCGGGGCUCAACCUCGGAACCGCAUUUGAAACUGGCAGGCUAGAGUCUUGUAGAGGGGGGUAGAAUUUCAGGUGUAGCGGUGAAAUGCGUAGAGAUCUGAAGGAAUACCAGUGGCGAAGGCGGCCCCCUGGACAAAGACUGACGCUCAGAUGCGAAAGCGUGGGUAGCAAACAGGAUUAGAUACCCUGGUAGUCCACGCCGUAAACGCUGUCUACUUGGAGGUUGAGGUUUUAGACUUUGGCUUUCGGCGCUAACGCAUUAAGUAGACCGCCUGGGGAGUACGGCCGCAAGGUUAAAACUCAAAUGAAUUGACGGGGGCCCGCACAAGCGGUGGAGCAUGUGGUUUAAUUCGAUGCAACGCGAAGAACCUUACCUACUCUUGACAUCCAGCGAAGCCUUUAGAGAUAGAGGCGUGCCUUCGGGAGCGCUGAGACAGGUGCUGCAUGGCUGUCGUCAGCUCGUGUUGUGAAAUGUUGGGUUAAGUCCCGCAACGAGCGCAACCCUUAUCCUUGUUUGCCAGCACGUAAUGGUGGGAACUCCAGGGAGACUGCCGGUGAUAAACCGGAGGAAGGUGGGGACGACGUCAAGUCAUCAUGGCCCUUACGAGUAGGGCUACACACGUGCUACAAUGGCAGAUACAGAGGGCAGCGAGACAGCGAUGUUUAGCGAAUCCCUUAAAGUUUGUCGUAGUCCGGAUUGGAGUCUGCAACUCGACUCCAUGAAGUCGGAAUCGCUAGUAAUCGUGGAUCAGAAUGCCACGGUGAAUACGUUCCCGGGCCUUGUACACACCGCCCGUCACACCAUGGGAGUGGGCUGCA